GCCCGCAUGGCUCAACUGGCAGAGCAGGACCCUCUUAAGGUCAAGGUUCGAGGUUCGAGUCCUCGUGCGGGCA
This 73-nucleotide transfer RNA is filed under the name Candidatus Omnitrophota bacterium. RNAcentral's name for it is "Candidatus Omnitrophica bacterium tRNA-Lys". It matches the Rfam family "tRNA". From Rfam's summary of the family: Transfer RNA (tRNA) molecules are approximately 80 nucleotides in length. Their secondary structure includes four short double-helical elements and three loops (D, anti-codon, and T loops). Lineage: Bacteria; Pseudomonadati; Candidatus Omnitrophota. The record is from RNAcentral.